Long non-coding RNA from Felis catus (domestic cat), 2046 nucleotides. RefSeq lists it as uncharacterized. The transcript has 6 exons. Lineage: Eukaryota; Metazoa; Chordata; Mammalia; Carnivora; Felidae. The record is from RefSeq and is a predicted model, not a curated record.
GGGCACGGGGCACCACGCGGAAAGCCCCACCCGCUCCGGAGGACGGCCAAUGGGCGCGGAGCGCGGGAAGCUGGGGGCGGAGCCGGAGCGGCCAGGCGGCCCCGCGACGCAGCGGGCUCAGAGGUCCUCGCCCACCGUGGAGAGCUGUACGGGCUUAAGAGUCACCUGCCUUGGAAACGUGUGUGUCAGACUUCGUCUGCUGUUUGCAGAACACUAGCCACACUGUUUGGGGAAGCGCGGAAUGAGUAACAGCCUCUGCUUUCAAGGAUAUCCCAAUCAGUCAGGCGGAGGAGCAGAUGGGUAAACAGAAACUGAAGAAGAGGCUGAAUAUGAGGCAGUUGGAAUAGUGAAAAGACAGCAGCCAUUGAUACAUGGACUCACGGCCAGAGAAGACAAGAAAAUGAGCCCCUCAGAAAUUAUCGACUAAAACAGAAUGAAUGGAUCCUGGCUAAGCCCCUGCCAUGGCAAAAUCCAGUGGAAUUGAUGUUCAGAAAGGGCUCUUGAUGAUUUGCUGUGUGAAGUGGAUUAAUACUGUCGGGCCAGCUCUAAGAAUAUCACACACAAUCACAGAGUCUGGACUUCUUGACUCCAAAUUCUCUUCCCUGCAUAAAGGAGGCUGCACUGUUACUGCUUUAGCUCAGUGCUUCAGUCAUGCCUUCCAUGAGACCCUGACCAAAAAAGAUAAAAUCUAAAUGUACAGUGGAGGAAAGAAAGUGAUACGUCCAGCAACUAUUUCUCAGAGAGCUGUCACUUAACUGCUUAUGUGCGUAAAUGGAGCAAGCUGCCAUGUUAGAGAGUCCCAUGUGGCAAAGAACUGAGAGAGGCCUCCAGCCAACAGCCAGAGAGGAACUGAAUCCUGCCAGCAAGCAUGUAAGUCAGCCUGGAAUCAAAUCCUUUCCCAGUAGAGACUGGCGAUGACCACAGCCCUAUCUGAUCCUUGACUGCAGCCUGUGUAGCAGCAGACCCGGCUAAGCCAGCCUGGACUCCUGACCUUACAGAAACUAAGAGAUAAUAAGUAUUGUUGAAAAACACUAAAUUUGGGGGCUAAUUUGUCACAUAGCAACCGAUAACUAGUACAAUGGGAUAACAAUUCCUUCCAGAAUUACAGUGAGAAUCAGAACAUAUAUGAGGAUUAGAAUAAUGACAGUAAUGGUAAUGACAAUGACAACAGGGGAUCCUAGCUAAGCUUAAAUUAAGAUUCAGAACCUGGCAGAAAUGCUACUAUUGUGAAGAAGUUAUAUUUAGUGCUUGAACCCCCUGAGGAGUACAAGAAAGAUGAAAGUACAAAAAACAAGGUAUCACAUUUCUCAAUCAGGCCCAGACUAUGUCUGACUCUGAUAGAAGGGGACUUGUUGAGCAAAGCUAAAGUAGCAGGUUUGUGAGAGUUAGUGAACAAGAAAAGGUGUGUGGGGGCCCAGGUGACAAAGUUUCACCAAGAACUGGGAAGAGGGUUACUCUCCCACUUCUGCUUAGAUUGGAGCAUGGCUACAACUAUAAAGUGAAGCCAAGAGAUAGUGCAGUUGUUCAACUCAAGAGUUCCUGCCUUGGGAGUAUGGAGCGUAGGACCCUCGAUGGGGAGGAAGGGUUCUCAUGGGGGAUAUUGGCCACCAUGAAGGAGACAAGGCCCUCCUGCUUCUCCUGAGAUUGGCACAUAGCUAUUUCUAUGUUUGUGGUUGAUAAACAGUAAAAAAGACUAUGAGAAGGGAAGUUGAGUACCUAUGUCUCUGUAAGCCGGUACAGUUGGGGUAUAGGUGCCUUUAAGGAUAUGCAGAGUUCUGACAGGCAAAGAAAGGAAAAUAGACAUUCCGAACUGAGGGAACAGCACAAGUAAAGAUUCAGAGCGGUGAACAUAAAUCAUUUCCUUAGGGAAAAGUAAGUUGUCCUGUGUGAUCAGAGAAAGGAGUAAAAACUAGUUAACAUCUCCUAUUCUGAUUCUUUUUUUAAACAUUUAUUUAUUGUUUAAUUUACAUCCAAGUUAGUUAGCAUAUAGUGCGACAAUGAUUUCAAGGGUAGAUUCCUUAAUGCCCCUUACCCAUUUAGCCCACC